RNAcentral lists this long non-coding RNA (11619 nucleotides) under Coffea arabica (coffee). Its description in RNAcentral is "long non-coding RNA (CARA_LNC000485)". The record is from RNAcentral. Lineage: Eukaryota; Viridiplantae; Streptophyta; Magnoliopsida; Gentianales; Rubiaceae.
GGCCCUUGAAUUGGUGGGGACCACAAGCUAGUGGAAAGCAUCUAGUCAAUUGGGCUCUUAAAAGAAAGUUACGGAAAGAGACUUGGGGCAAGAAGUACUUUGAAGGUUUUGUCCACAUGUGUGGGGACCACCUAGAUAGACUUUAGUCAUCUUUCUUUUGUUGCUUAAAUAGGGAUAACGUAGAGUAGGAGGGACAUCUCUAGUUUUAGUCUUUUAGUGUAGCUUUACUUUUUUCUUCUUUUGACUGGUCUCUGACACACGCCAGGUGUUCGACAAAAUUCCCCAACGGGAAAAACAUCUUUUAUUCCUUGCUUUCUAGUAAAAAAAACGCUAUGCCUUUGCAAUCCAUUAAUUUGUGUGGUGAAUUAAUUAUGCGGCGUGGCUAAGUCUCCCAUCUAGUCAAGGGUCAACUCGACGGCGCAGUCCCGAAAAUCUGUGAGAUCUAAUUAGUUUUCACGCGUUCCUUUAUCUAUUAAUAUUUGCAUGCUGCCUGAUUUAAUUUUCAUGGGAUUAUUUUAUUAAUUGGAUGUCAAGGGCCCGAUGUUCAAUGUGAUUUAUUAAUCUCGUGCCAUUUUAGUCAAUUAAAUCCGUAAUUGUUUGAUUGAUUAAUAUUAGUGGCAACUGGUGUGUUUACACAUUAGGGGAACGUGCAAUCUAAUUUAAAUAACCCUCGUAGCGCGUUAUUGAUUAGGGCUAGGUUUUUCUGGUUAUUAAUGCAAUUGAAAAAUUAAUUCCUACGGUCGUACCUAGGAGUACUUUUCUGGUUAGGGGUGAUUAAUGGUCGUACCUUGAUCACCUAUAAAUUAAGGAAAAAUUGGUCAUUAGAGUUCAUCAAUGGCUAUAACUAGCCUAUUAAUAAAUAAAGUAAACCUCUUUUGCAUCAAUGAUCGGAUAAAUGGACUGUGCCUGAGUAGUUGCAUUCUUGGCUAGAAUUUAUUUAUUCUUGAUUAAAUUCCUGCUAUACUUGUGAUAGUGACUUAAUCAUUUUUAAUUAAAUUGUUUAAUUAUUUUUGUUUCAUUCCGGUGACAUCCCCCCUUAUCAAUUGGACUAAGAAAAGAGACAGAUAUCUCCAGUCCCUGAGGAGACGACCCUACUUGCCACUGUCUACUAUUUAGUAAUUUUUGUCAAUUAAUUAAUUCUGGUAUAUCGGAUUAAGCAAACUCUUUGGGAACAGGGUGAAUCAAGUAACCCAUUGCACACCUAGAGUCCCUGCUCCAGUACUUGGAAUUAAUUGCUGACUGCUCUUAGUGGUAGCUAAGUUCUAUAUUUAUUAUUAUUAUUGCACAGGCUGACGACCUGUCAAUUUUUGGCACCGUUGCCGGGGACUGGCGUUAUUAUUUGUUUCUUUAUUAAGUUCAUUUUCGCUCUAAUUUUCUGGUAUUUUUCUAGUGUAUGCCGCGAUCUUCUCGUAUAGGUAAUUUGGUUUUUGACCAUGAGGUAGAGAAGACUGCGCGUAGGACAAGAAAAUAGACCAGACAGCUCCGAGAGGAGCACUCCAGUGCUACAUCUCAGAGACCUGAGCCAGAAGUUGAACCAACAGAUUCAUUUGGAGACACUUCGAGUGACUCAGAGCAAGAAGAAAUCCCCAUGGCUAACACACAGACAUUAAGGGAGUUGGCUGCUCCAAACUUGACCCAGCAACCUCUUUGCAUAACUUUUCCUCGCCUUAGUGAGAAUGCAGCUUUUGAAUUAAAACCUGGCUUAAUACAUUUGUUGCCUAUUUUUCAUGGUCUGCCAGGAGAGGAACCCCACAAACACAUGCAGGAAUUUGACGUGGUAUGUUCGAGUAUGAAGCCUUCGGGAGUAACUGAUGAACAAAUUAAAUUAAGGGCCUUUCCUUUUUCUCUCAAGGAUUCGGCAAAGGACUGGUUAUACUGUCUACCUGCAGGCAUUAUCACCACGUGGCCAGAGAUGCAGAAAAAAAUUUUUGAAAAAUAUUUCCCUGCAUCCAGAGCUGCUAGUUUGCGAAAGGAAAUAUGUGGCAUCAAACAAUUUCACGGGGAAUUCUUGUAUGAAUAUUGCGAGAGGUUCACCAGGCUGCGUACCCAAUGCCCGCAUCACCAAAUAAGUGAUCAACUCCUGAUUCAGUACUUCUACGAGGGACUAUUGAUGAACGAUAGAAAUAUCAUUGAUGCAGCAAGUGGUGGUGCACUGGUGAAUAAGACUACCCAAGAGGCAUGGGACUUAAUUGAGCGAAUGGCAGAGAAUUGCCAGCAGUUUGGUACGAGAGCAGAUGUUCCUACGAGAAAGGUCAACGAGGUAAGUUCAUCUUCCAUUGAACAGCAGUUAUCUGAAUUAACCUCAUUUGUUCGACAGAUAGCUGUAGGAAAUGCACAGCAGGCCAAAGUGUGUGGGAUUUGCACGAAUAUUGGUCAUACCAUUGACUCGUGCCCACAGUUACAUGAAGAGGGAAUUGAGCAAGCAAACAUGGCUGGUAACAUGCCCAUGCCACGUAGACAGUAUGACCCCUAUUCCAACUCAUACAAUCCGGGUUGGAGGGAUCAUCCAAAUCUAAGCUAUGGGGGAAAUAAGCAACAAAAUUUCAUCCCCAAUAGACAGCAGGGCUUCCAGCAACAAUAUAAAACAAGGAAUCAACCCGCCUCUGCCUCAGGUAUGUCCCUAGAAGACAUGGUUAAAACCAUAGCCUCUAAUACUAUGAAAUUUCAACAGGACACUGAGGCCAGCAAUCAAGAGAUGAAAGCACGUAUGCAAAACUUGGAAAAUCAGAUGAGUCAAUUAGCCUCAAUUGUCAACCGACUAGACUCCCAGGGAAAGGGAAAACUUCCAUCCCAACCUGAGGUGAAUCCUAAGAAUGUAAGUGCAAUGACCCUCAGGAGUGGGAAAGAGGUUGAAGGACCAGCGCCAGUGGCUCCAAAGGACAAGAAUGAGGACUGCAUUGAGAAGGAGCUUGAGGAAGAAGGAACGCCCGGCACAAAUAAAGAGGUAAUACGGAACCCAAUGGUUCCAGUUAAGCCUAACCCACCACCUUUUCCUAGCAGGUUGGAAAGGCCUAAAAAGCAAGACAAGGAAAAGGAAAUUUUGGAGAUGUUUAGGAAGGUGGAGAUAAAUAUCCCCUUACUUGACGCAAUUAAGCAAGUACCCCGGUAUGCCAAAUUUUUGAAGGACCUAUGCAUCAAUAGGAAGAAAUUGAGGGGAGAUGAAAGGAUAAUUGUGGGAGAGAACGUAUCUGCAGUGCUUCAAAGAAAACUUCCACCCAAGUGCGGAGACCCAGGUAUGUUCACUAUUCCUUGUAAAAUAGGGAACACUAGCAUUAGGAAUGCCAUGUUAGAUUUAGGAGCCUCUAUAAAUGUGAUGCCCAAGGCUAUUUAUGCUUCUCUGAAUUUGGGCCCCUUAAAAGAAACUGGCAUUAUAAUUCAAUUGGCUGAUAGGACUAAUGCUUAUCCUGAUGGGGUGAUAGAAGAUGUGUUAGUCCAAGUGAACAAUUUAGUGUUCCCUGCUGAUUUUUAUAUUCUUGAUAUGGGUGAUGAACGUUCUCCAAAUCCAUCACCAAUUUUGUUGGGGAGGCCCUUCUUGAGCACGGCUCGUACAAAAAUUGAUGUUAGUAAGGGCACCCUAACGAGGGAAAUUGAUGGAGAAAUAGUUCAUUUCAGUAUAUUUGAGACCAUGAAAUAUCCGUGUCAUUCUAAUGCUGUUUUUGCUGUGAGUAUAAUUGACCCUUUGGUGCAAGAAGUAUUUGAGAUUGAUGGCAGGGAUGAAUUGGAGGUAGCAAUCACCAAACCUUUAGAUCUGGAAGCAACCUGCGAAAUGGAGUUAGACAUCAAUUUGCAAAGAAUGGUUGGAGCCUUGCAUUCACUAGGCCAAAGUCCUCUAAGGUAUGAUGUUGCUCCCAUAUUUGUGCCUGAACCACACCUAAAGCUAUUACCUUCUAUUGUGCAGGCACCUGAAGUGGAGUUGAAACCCCUGCCCGAGCAUUUAAAGUAUGCCUUUCUAGGUGAAAAAGAGACGUUACCAGUGAUAAUCUCAUCCAAAUUAUCACCCACAGAGGAGGACAAGCUGCUGCGGGUUUUAAGGGAGCAUAAGGAAGUUAUAGGGUGGACAAUUGCAGACAUCAAGGGUAUAAGCCCGUCUGUGUGCAUGCAUCGAAUUCGCCUGGAAGAGGAUGCUAGGCCGAUAAGACAACCACAAAGGAGAUUGAACCCCAUCAUGAUGGAAGUGGUCAAGAAAGAGGUAAUCAAGCUUCUGGACGUAAGAAUUAUUUUCUCUAUCUCAGACAGUCCAUGGGUGAGUCCGGUCCAAGUGGUGCCAAAGAAAGCAGGGGUAACUGCGGAAGAAAAUCAUGAAGGGGACCUUGUUCCAAUUCGAAAGCCUACGGGUUGGCGCCAGUGCAUCGAUUACCGUAAAUUGAACGCAGUGACCAAGAAGGAUCAUUUUCCCCUUCCAUUCAUUGAUCAAAUGGUUGAAAGGUUAGCUUGUCGUGCCUAUUAUUGUUUUUUAGAUGGUUUCUCUGGUUAUUUUCAGAUAGCAAUUGCGCCAGAGAAUCAAGAGAAAACAACUUUCACUUGCCCCUUUGGCAUUUUUGCCUAUCGAAGGAUGCCUUUUGGAUUGUGUAAUGCCCCUGCAACAUUCCAGAGGUGUAUGAUUAGCAUUUUUUCUGAGUAUGUGGAGAGAAUAAUUGAGGUAUUCAUGGAUGACUUCAGUGUCUAUGGUGAUAGUUUUGAUGAUUGCUUAGAUAACCUGACCUUAAAAAGAGAUGCAUCGAGACUAACCUAGUGCUCAAUUGGGAAAAAUGUCACUUCAUGGUUGAGCACGGGAUAGUUCUAGGACAUGUAGUGUCACCUAGAGGAAUUGAAGUUGAUAAAGCUAAAAUAGAUGUGAUAUCUGCUUUACCUUACCCCGUAACUGUACGGGAAGUUCGUUCUUUUCUAGGACAUGCAGGUUUCUAUCGCAGAUUUAUCAAGGAUUUCUCAAAGAUCGGGGCACCACUUUUUAGGCUUUUGCAAAAGGAUGUCAGUUUUGAAUUCAAUGAGGAGUGCAAAAAAGCGUUCGAGAAGUUGAAGAAAUUACUCACUUCUCCACCUAUCAUCCAACCUCCUGAUUGGAAUCGCCCAUUCGAAAUUAUGUGUGAUGCCAGCGACUACUCCGUGGGAGCAGUUUUGGGACAAAGCGUGGAGAAAGCGGCGCACGCAAUAUAUUAUGCCUCUAGAGUUUUAAAUGGCGCCCAACUCAAUUACUCUACCACGGAGAAAGAACUCUUAGCUGUUAUUUUUGCUUUGGAAAAGUUUAGACCUUAUUUGUUAGGUGCUAAAGUAAUUGUGUAUUCUGACCAUGCAGCUUUGAGGUACCUACUGACCAAGAAGGACGCUAAGCCCCGCUUGAUAAGAUGGAUAUUGCUCCUGCAGGAAUUUGACUUGGAAAUCAGAGAUAAAAAAGGAGCAGAGAAUCUAGUAGCUGACCACCUAAGUCGAAUACUGGUAGCAGAGGAGGAAUUACCAUUAAGGGAGUCUUUUCCUGAAGAGCAUUUACUUUCUAUUAAUUUAACUUUGCCCUGGUAUGCAGAUAUUGUUAAUUUUCUAGUUACUGACAAGUUUCCUGCAGGAUGGCCUAAGGCAAAAAGGGAUAAGUUAAGGAGUGACGCAAAGUCUUACAUCUGGGAUGACCCUUACCUCUGGAAGCGUGGUGCCAACCAAAUCAUUCGCAGAUGUGUAAGUGAAAAUGAAUUCCAGUCUAUUUUAGCUUAUUGUCACUCUUUUGCAUGUGGGGGUCACUUUGGACCAAAGAGGACUGCCCGUAAGGUUCUAGAGAGUGGAUUCUAUUGGUCAAUCCUCUUUAAGGAUGCCUACUCAUUUUGUAAGUCAUGUGAUAAGUGUCAAAGAGUAGGUAAUAUUUCUCGUAGGGAUCAAAUGACCCAAACCCCAAUGAUUUUUGUUGAGAUUUUUGACGUUUGGGGUAUUGAUUUUAUGGGCCCUUUUCCUUCGUCUUAUGGUUUUCUAUAUAUAUUGCUUGCUGUAGACUAUGUUUCGAAAUGGGUGGAAGCAAAACCCACUCGUACUAAUAAUUUCAAAGUGGUUGCAGAAUUUGUCAAAUCUAACAUUUUUGUCCGCUUUGGAAUGCCUCGAGCAAUUGUAAGUGAUCGGGGUACCCAUUUCUGCAACAAGACGAUUGCUGCGCUUUUCAGGAGGUACGGUGUCUUGCACAAAGUCUCCACUUCUUACCAUCCUCAGACAAACGGUCAGGCGAAGGCAUCGAACCGGGAGAUCAAGUCAAUUUUGGAGAAGAUGGUUCGACCCGAUAGGAAGGAUUGGAGUAUAAGACUUGAAGAUGCCUUGUGGGCAUAUAAAACGGCAUACAAGACACCAAUCGGCAUGUCCCCUUACCGUUUGGUAUUUGGGAAGCCAUGCCACCUCCCUGUCGAGUUCGAGCAUAGAGCAUUUUGGGCGGUCAAGCAAUGCAAUAUGGAUAUCGAAGAGGGCGGAAUUCAAAGGAAGCUAUAGUUACAAGAAUUGGAGGAGAUUCGCAAUGAAGCUUACGAGAAUGCUGUGAUUUAUAAGGAGAAAAACAAGAUUUUUCAUGACCAGCAGGUCUCUAGGAAGACGUUUGAAUGUGGGCAAAAAGUUCUACUGUAUCACUCCAAAUUGAAGCUAUUUCCAGGUAAACUACGUUCUCGUUGGAUUGGUCCCUUUGUUGUAACUAAUGUCUUUGAUUAUGGUGCAGUGGAGAUCCAGAGUCUAAAGACGGAGAAGAAAUUUGUGGUGAACGGUCAUCGUCUCAAGCCAUAUUAUGAUGGGGCUCCAGUUGAACGGAUAGAGACAAUGCAUGUGGAGGACCCAAUUUGUUUGGUUUAAGCAAAUUAUGGGAUUUGUCUAGCCAAAGACACUAAAGAAAGGCGCUCUUUCGGGAGGCAACCCGAAUAUUGAUUUUAUUGUUUUUAGUUGUUCAUUUCUUUCAUUCUGUCGUUUCCUCGUUGGGUAGUAUGAGUAUUAAUAUUUCCUUCACUGCAAUCAGGAAAUCCAAUUUUGGCGUGCCCACGCGGUGUUGGUGUUUCCUGAAACCAGAGGACGAAAACCAAUCUUGGCGUGCCCAUGCGGUGUUCGGCGACCUAAUCCAUAUAAAAAAAAAUCCACUUUUAUUAUUAGUAUUAUUAAUACUAUUUUUAUUCUUAUUAGUAUUAUUAUUCUUAUUCUUAUUAUUCCUAUCUUUAAACGAAGAAGAAGUGAUUAUUUUUCAAAAAAAAAAUAUAUAUAUAUAUACAUAUAUAAUACAAAAAAAUACAAAAAUAAAAAAAUAAUAAUAAAAAAAAAGAAAUUUUUCAGCAAUUUCCAGCUGAAACGAUUACAUUAGCGUAUUGUUUAAACAAAAAAAAAAUCCCCUUUUCUCUUUUCUUUUUCUUCUUUUCUUCUUUCCUUCUUUUCUUUCUUUCUUUCUUUCUCUUCUUUCUGUCUUCUUCCCCGCUGCCCCUAUUUCCUUUCUUCUCCUUUUUUCUUCUUUCGGACGCCGCCCUUUUCUCUUGUUUCUUCGACCAUUGCGCGCCGCCUCCACCAGACGCCGCCUCCACCAGACGACGCCUCCACCUGCAGCCCACAGUAGCACGGGCCGCCGACACCAUCUCCAGCCGCGAUCCGCAACCCCCAACCCGCGCGCCGCCGCCACUGCUGUCCAGCACCUCGCGCGGCCAACAACUCCAGCUUCGUCCGCCACUCCCAGCUCGGCCCUGUCCUCCCUCGUUCACCCCACCACAGCCAACACCAGCUUCCUCCACCGCUGUCCGCGUGCGACAGCAGACCAGGACGCCACCUCUUUCCUCCGCACACCUCGUACGGCCCUCUACCUCACUCACUCCCCGUCGCUGGUCGGCACCACUGCCCAGACGCCGCAACUCGCGCCACAGCACUAGGCCUGACCAACCAGCGCGCCGCACGCAGCUCCUCGUGCGCGACAGCCGUGCGACGCCGCGCCUCCCUCAGCAACAGCUCCAAGCUCCAGCAAGCGCCACCACCAGCUCACUGCUGUCCAGCACCUCGCGCGGCAGCAACUCCAGCCGACAGAGCACCGCCUCCUUGAUCACCAGUUCCGCGGCCACGCACUUCACCACCUGUCCAAUUGAGACAGGUGGAGGUAUUAUACAUUCUUUCCCUAAUUAGUUUCAAUCUCUGAAAUUUGUGGUUGAAUUUCUUGUUGGAUUUGGGGGAAAUUGCUGCUAUAUGUGGGGUUAUUCUCUGAUAAUUAUUGAAUUUUUUAACUUGUGGGGUUAAUUAUGUGGGGUUAAUUUUUUUACUUGUGGCCCUUGAAUUGACAUUGGCUGGGCAUUUUUCUGCGUCUGUUUGUUGAAUUGGAGGGCUACUGUGUCCCUUCCUUUGCUAAUUGCUGAUUGAUUGUGCCUAAUUAACCAACUUGGGUUAUUUUGAGUCGUAUUGCACGUUUGGGCUGUUUUGUUCUUAUAUUGGAUUCUAUUGGGGCUGUUGCUCUUUAUUAAUUGCAUUUGCUGUCUUGUUGGGGAUUGUUCUAGCCUAAGGGUGCUUGCAUUGCUUUCCUGUCCGUGCACCAGUGGUACUGGUGGCAGUAUUGCUUUCCAUUUCUUCAUUCUCUGUGCUGAACUGUCUCUCAAUUCUCACCAUUUAUUGCUGCAAUUGCUGGUUAAAAUUGGGGGCACCCGUGACGCUUAUAUUUGCUACUUGGUUGUUUUGGGUUGCUUGCUGGUCACCAUGGUGAAGCCUCGAUCUUCUUCUAAGACUAGGACCCCUAGGACUCCUCAGCCCCCUCCACCCCAGCAUUCCAUUCCCGCCUCUGACCCCUCGCACGACCCUUCCUCCUCUGGGAGGCGGGCUCGUCUUGGGCGACAAAGAGGCGUCCAUAUCUCUGACCCUGCACAUUUUGGGGGUCAUUUGGACUUCACCAGGGCCGCCGACAAGGGGCGCUAUGAAGCGGUUUGUGAACGACGGAUUAUUCCUUGUCGUUAUCGGGACCCCGCCAUCUUGGGCCUUCUAAAUAUUAGCGUCCCCUUGCACGAUUUGAUUGAGGCCAUCGGGUGGCGCCCCUAUUCUCGUAUAACUGACCUCCCAGCCUUUGUUGAAUUAGUUAGGGAAUUCUAUGCCACAUUUGAAUUCAACCUUCCCACUGGUUACACAGUUUCCACCCCUGAUGUCAUCCGCUUCCGUUUAAUGGGUCAGGAAUUCCACCAUUCCAUAACUGACUUCAACCUGGCCUUUGGUUUCAUUGAUCCUGCCUAUGCUGAGUCUAGGGAGUAUGCCGAGAGUGCAUGUGACUAUGUUCAGCCGUUUUUCUCCCUCUAUCGCUUUAUUUGGGAUGAGAUGUCUGUCGAUAGGGAUAACUAUGACCCUCGUCUCUCUAAGGGUUCUUAUCUUAAGGACCCGGCGUCUCGCUAUAUCCACCGUUUUUUAGCUUUCAGUUUCUCGGGUAGGCGAGAUAGCUCGGGCGUUUUGUCUAAGCCGGAGUUUUUCUUUAUAUGGUGCAUGCAUAAUAACGUUAAAGUUAACUUGGGGUGCUGGCUCGCUUCUCAGUUCAAGUCCAUUUUGCCUAAAAAGAAGCGCCCCUUGAUUCUUGGGUCUUACAUUACUCACUUGGCUAUUAAUUUGCAUGUCCUUGAUAUUUCUAACCACAACUUGCAUAUAGCCUGUCAAAUGGAGCCUUUGGAUAUUCCGAGCUUGGAGAAAAUGGGCUUAGUUCGAGAGGGCGACAAUGGUUGGGAGGUUGUUCCCCCGGGACCGCUACACCCUCCCCCUCGUUCAUCCUUUGCCAGUGCCUCCACGGCAGGCGGUGAUCCCGGUCCAUCUUCCUCCGUUCCCUCCCAUUCCGCCCAUACGGAUGAGGAAUGGAACCAGCUCCGCAACACAGUUGAGCGGCUUGAGAUUCGGCAGAAACACAUGGACGUUAACAUUCACAAUAUGGCGCAGAAUCUAGCGGCUUUUAUGCAGCAAGCCGGGUUCCCUCCUCAAUUUUCGCCUAACCCACCCUUGUCUUGACGCCUUCAGGGAAGUACCGUUGCCCCUCCCCUUUUUCUGCUAUUAUCUUUUCACAUUGAGGGCAAUGCGUCAUUUAGGUGUGGGGGCGUCAGUUUGGGUGCUAGUUCUCGUUUCUUUAUUAUUUUUUAUCUUAUUUUCUGUUUAGGUGUUGCUCCUCUAUCCCUUUUGAGUGUCUUUCCCUUGCUUCUAUCUUGGUGAAUAUUUUUGGCAGCGCACUUUUUCUUGUUAGUUGUGGUUUGUACUAUGAGUUGAGUUACAGUGGCAAGUAAAAGCAUGCCUUCUUGGUGAAUACUUUGAGUUUAACGGCGUGGUGCAAUUUCUGGCUAACUCGUUUAGGCAAUAUAAAUAUUUUGCUGGCAUUGUUGUGUAGUUUGGUCUCCUGUUUACCUUAGUUCUCCAUAUUUGGGACAUGACGCAGGCUAUGAUAUGUAAUUAUUUGGUAUCUUGGUGUUUUAUGGUGAAUAACGUAUGGCUAUACUCCGCUAGUGUCGCCACCUAGUAACCGGGAGUUUUCACCACAAGUGUCGGCUCUCGCGUCAAAAAGUGACGAUAUCUAUGAGUAAAUAGUCCUGGAGCUAUGAAAGGUCGAGUAACUGGGCUCUUUCAUCUAAAAAUGUCAGAGUUCACGUCAAAAGACUUGAAUAGCUCUGGACUAAGCAAUCCAAAAAAAAAAAAAAAGACAAAAUCAGAUGUGGAGAGUAUGUGAGUUUAUGAUCAUGUUAGCCUGCCGAUCCUUGGUUCGUAUUGUUGAGAUUUUGGUUGACAGUUGACAUAAUUAUUGACUGUUGCUAGUUAGUAUUUGGAUUUCCUAAGCGAAUUAGCCAUGAAUUGGACAGGUCUAUGAACUUAGGAGCUAACCGGGAGAGACAUGUCUUGACACUAAGUCACUAGAUCUUGAUUUUGGGUAUACGCACAGUUGGCUAUGAUAAUGUGGAAGCUAGCCAUUGUUGAGCUAAAUUUUCCUCAUGCUUGAGGGCAAGCAUGAUUCAGGUGUGGGGGGAAUUGAUAGGGCACAAUUUGUUAGUGAUUUUAUUAUUAAUUUCCCCUUUUACCCCUGAUAAAUAUUGUGUUAAUUGCUGAUAUUUACUCAUAUUUGGUAUCUGGACUUAAUUUCAGGAAUAAAGCAGAAAACUACCAAAAAGGAGGGACUCUAUGGAAAAUGUGGAGACUCCUAAGAGCUUCAAUGCUUGGGCCCUUGAAUUGGUGGGGACCACAAGCUAGUGGAAAGCAUCUAGUCAAUUGGGCUCUUAAAAGAAAGCUACGGAAAGAGAUUUGGGGCAAGAAGUACUUUGAAGGCUUUGUCCACAUGUGUGGGGACCACCUAGAUAGACUUUAGUCAUCUUUCUUUUGUUGCUUAAAUAGGGAUAACGUAGAGUAGGAGGGACAUCUCUAGUUUUAGUCUUUUAGUGUAGCUUUACUUUUUCCUUCUUUUGACUGGCCUCUGACACACGCCAGGUGUUCGACAAAAUUCCCCAACGGGAAAAACAUCUUUUAUUCCUUGCUUUCUAGUAAAAAAAACGCUAUGCCUUUGCAAUCCAUUAAUUCGUGUGGUGAAUUAAUUAUGCGGCGUGGCUAAGUCUCCCAUCUAGUCAAGGGUCAAUUCGACGGCGCAGUCCCGAAAAUCUGUGAGAUCUAAUUAGUUUUCACGCGUUCCUUUAUCUAUUAAUAUUUGCAUGCUGC